Molecule: ribosomal RNA, 460 nt
Filed under: uncultured bacterium
Lineage: Bacteria
Description: partial 16S ribosomal RNA
Rfam family: Bacterial small subunit ribosomal RNA
Source: RNAcentral
ACUACGGGUGGCAGCAGUGAGGAAUAUUGGUCAAUGGGCGGAAGCCUGAACCAGCCAAGUAGCGUGCAGGAUGACGGCCCUACGGGUUGUAAACUGCUUUUAUACGGGAAUAACGCGCCUUACGUGUAGGGCUUUGCAUGUACCGUAUGAAUAAGGACCGGCUAAUUCCGUGCCAGCAGCCGCGGUCAUACGGAAGGUCCGGGCGUUAUCCGGAUUUAUUGGGUUUAAAGGGAGCGUAGGCCGCAUGUCAAGCGUGCUGUGAAAUGUCCGGGCUCAACCCGGGCCUUGCAGCGCGAACUGGCGUGCUUGAGUCCGCGGAAAGCAGGCGGAAUUCGUCGUGUAGCGGUGAAAUGCUUAGAUAUGACGAAGAACCCCGAUUGCGAAGGCAGCUUGCUGCAGCGGAACUGACGCUGAUGCUCGAAAGCGCGGGUAUCGAACAGGAUUAGAUACCCCUGUAGUC